This 1106-nucleotide long non-coding RNA is filed under the name Rhopalosiphum maidis (corn leaf aphid). RNAcentral describes it as "uncharacterized LOC113553736, transcript variant X1". Lineage: Eukaryota; Metazoa; Arthropoda; Insecta; Hemiptera; Aphididae. The record is from RNAcentral.
UGUUCUUACCAUCAAGCUUUAUUUUAAGUCGAUUCACUCCAAUUUUUAAACUAACGAAGCUAAACGUGAUCUGCUGAAUAUAAAUUUGCUAUAUUACGUACUUGUAAGACGGAGACAACAUGUGCGGGUGAUGUUACGGCCUCUUAAAAUUAUAUUUUACUUACCUGACAUGAUAUAAAUUGGAAUUUCUCCUACACAACAUUGUACUGUUACUGAGAAACCUUGUAUAGUCUUGAUCCACGGUAAUCGUUCUUGAUGAUAAAUGUUUGCUAAGUCUUCAAUGUACCUAUUGAAAAAAAUAGAGAAAUAAAUAAAACCAAAUGUAUGCUGUGAAAAUGCCAGCAAACACAGCCCACACAAGGUGCACGUGACAACCAUAUAAUAUAACCCAAAUAAUCCAUUCCAAUAUGUAUUAACACGUUGAGUGCCACAGUAUUUAUGAUGUACAUGAUGUACAUAAUCAUUCUUGAAACUACACGAACUUGAAGAAGUAAAAUCAAAAUUUAAAUCAGAAGACAUUUCAAGUAUUACUUUUCAAUACAGCCAACACUGGCCAAACAGUAUCACAAUUAUUUACAAGUGGCAUUAAAAAACUUGUUUUUACAAACUUAUAUGUGGUACAAACACUAACCACAAUGAUGUUGAAUGUUGAUAUAUAACUUUUGUUUUAUCUAUACAUAAUUAUUGAAGUAUAUUGAUUACAGUAUUGACGUAUCUUUAAAUUUUCGUAUGAUUCACAGGUAUUUUGUUUAACUUACGUUUAGCUGAAAUGCAACAAUAAAAUGACAGAUAAGGAAUAUCAUAGCGAUCAAAUACGCUGGUAAGUAGUUUUUGUGUUCUGCGUCAAUGCUGUACCAAUCCACACACGCGCCGACCAACAGUGUAGAAAUUCCCCAGCCAACCGCUCCCCAGACCCGUUGUCUUCCAUAACUCUUUUUGUCGUCACCUGGGAUGUGUUGAUAUUUUAAGUGUGUAUACCCAACAUUUCCAAACAGAUCGUAUCUUGAAGAACAUCUCCCACCAUCCAAAGCAACAUCCUCGCUGUAAUGGUGGUAAAAAAAAUCCAAAAUUUCCAGUGCGUCAUGAUGUCCAAGUUUUCGGCAUAU